This 779-nucleotide ribosomal RNA is filed under the name Limosilactobacillus fermentum. RNAcentral's name for it is "bacterial SSU rRNA". It matches the Rfam family "Bacterial small subunit ribosomal RNA", at positions 201 to 965 of the family's 1533-position model. The record is from RNAcentral. Lineage: Bacteria; Bacillati; Bacillota; Bacilli; Lactobacillales; Lactobacillaceae.
UAAAAGAUGGCUUCUCGCUAUCACUUCUGGAUGGACCUGCGGUGCAUUAGCUUGUUGGUGGGGUAACGGCCUACCAAGGCGAUGAUGCAUAGCCGAGUUGAGAGACUGAUCGGCCACAAUGGGACUGAGACACGGCCCAUACUCCUACGGGAGGCAGCAGUAGGGAAUCUUCCACAAUGGGCGCAAGCCUGAUGGAGCAACACCGCGUGAGUGAAGAAGGGUUUCGGCUCGUAAAGCUCUGUUGUUAAAGAAGAACACGUAUGAGAGUAACUGUUCAUACGUUGACGGUAUUUAACCAGAAAGUCACGGCUAACUACGUGCCAGCAGCCGCGGUAAUACGUAGGUGGCAAGCGUUAUCCGGAUUUAUUGGGCGUAAAGAGAGUGCAGGCGGUUUUCUAAGUCUGAUGUGAAAGCCUUCGGCUUAACCGGAGAAGUGCAUCGGAAACUGGAUAACUUGAGUGCAGAAGAGGGUAGUGGAACUCCAUGUGUAGCGGUGGAAUGCGUAGAUAUAUGGAAGAACACCAGUGGCGAAGGCGGCUACCUGGUCUGCAACUGACGCUGAGACUCGAAAGCAUGGGUAGCGAACAGGAUUAGAUACCCUGGUAGUCCAUGCCGUAAACGAUGAGUGCUAGGUGUUGGAGGGUUUCCGCCCUUCAGUGCCGGAGCUAACGCAUUAAGCACUCCGCCUGGGGAGUACGACCGCAAGGUUGAAACUCAAAGGAAUUGACGGGGGCCCGCACAAGCGGUGGAGCAUGUGGUUUAAUUCGAAGCUACGCGAA